Molecule: long non-coding RNA, 2419 nt
Filed under: Salmo salar (Atlantic salmon)
Lineage: Eukaryota; Metazoa; Chordata; Actinopteri; Salmoniformes; Salmonidae
Description: lncRNA (ENSSSAG00000116108.1)
Source: RNAcentral
AAAAUACCAACAGCCACUGGGGAUCCUAAUAAAAUACCAACAGCCAAUGGGGAUCCUAAUAAAAUACCAACAGCCAAUGGGGAUCCUAAUAAAAUACCAACAGCCAAUGGGGAUCCUAAUAAAAUACCAACAGAAAAAACCUACAGUGAGACUUUAUAAACUCAGAAAAAGAUAAGUUUCCUAAAACUUGAACAAAAUGAAAAUACUGUACUUAGUGCUUAAAUUACUUAAAACAAUUUUCCAUUUUAAAAGGAAAACAAGGAUUUUGUGGUUAAUAUAUAAAAUGUUUAUUUAAAAUAUAAACAGUACGUAAUAUCAUAUCACUCUAAAUGUGUUUAACUACUACCUAUUUCUCUUUCUGAAGACUUAUGUGCUCUCUUGCUCUUAGAUAUCUAUAUUAAUAUAACUUUCAAAUAAAGGUCCAGGAAAAGAGUAUGACCAUUAAUAUAUAUCGUUGUGUUAUUAUUUCAUUAACAUACCUCAAACAAAAAUCUUGAUGGAGAGAGGACCUUUCUGUCCUGCUAAUUUACAGUGCAAUUUCCUCAUAAUUUACCUGCUAAUUUACAGUGUCAUUUCCUCAUAUUUUACCUGCUAAUUUACAGUGUCAUUUCCUCAUAAUUUACCUGCUAAUUUACAGUGUCAUUUCCUCAUAAUUUACCUGCUAAUUUACAGUGUCAUUUCCUCAUAAUUUACCUGCUAAUUUACAGUGUCAUUUCCUCAUAAUUUACCUGCUAAUUUACAGUGUCAUUUCCUCAUAAUUUACCUGCUAAUGCGGCUAUUUGUUCUGCAUGUUGCGUGAAAACAAAUCUGCGUCGCAAAUGGCACCCUAUUCCGAAUAUAGUGCACUACUUUUCACCAAGGCCCUUGGGGCUCGGGUCGUAAGUUGUGCACUAUGUAGGGAAUAGGGUGCCAUUUGGGUCACUGACCAAAUAACCCAUUCUAACACAACACAAACAUGAGUUUGUUUGAACUACAGUAGGUUGUUAAUGAUAUCCUGCUUAUACAGUAGGUUGUUAAUGAUAGGCUGCUUCUACAGUAGGUUGUUAAUGAUAGGCUGAUUCUACAGUAGGUUGUUAAUGAUAGGCUGCUUCUCCAGUAGGUUGUUAAUGAUAGGCUGAUUCUACAGUAGGUUGUUAAUGAUAGGCUGAUUCUACAGUAGGUUGUUAAUGAUUGGCUGAUUAUACAGUAUGCUUUUAAUGAUAGGCUGAUUAUACAGUAGGUUGUUAAUGAUUGGCUGAUUAUACAGUAUGCUUUUAAUGAUAGGCUGAUUAUACAGUAGGUUGUUAAUGAUAGGCUGCUUCUACAGUAGGUUGUUAAUGAUAGGCUGAUUCUACAGUAGGUUGUUAAUGAUAGGCUGAUUCUACAGUAGGUUGUUAAUGAUAGGCUGAUUAUACAGUAGGUUGUUAAUGAUAGGCUGAUUAUACAGUAGGUUGUUAAUGAUAGGCUGAUUAUACAUUAGGCUGUUAAUGAUAGGCUGAUUCUACAGUAGGUUGUUAAUGAUAGGCUGAUUAUACAGUAGGUUGUUAAUAAUAUCCUACUUUUACAGUAGGUUGUUAAUGAUAGGCUGAUUAUACAGUAGGUUGUUAAUAAUAGGCUGCUUCUACAGUGCAGAAAUAAGUAUUUUGCAGAAAUACAGUAAGUGUUUAGUGUUUUAACGUAAGUUAUUUUUGUGUGUUGCUGUCCAUUGACUGAUGGGGGAUAUCAGGCUAUUUUGUUAUUUUUAUAUGAAUUAUUGAAUAACUCAUUGUACUCCGUUGAUGUGAUAUGUGUACUUAUUAAGGUAGCGAGGUAUUGUAGUGAUGCACAGUGGUGAUUUCUAGUCACAAUAUGCCAGCAGCAGACCACCCUGCAUCCCACUGCUGGCUUGCUUCUGAAGCUAAGCAGGGUUGGUCCUGGAUGGGAGACCAGAUGCUGCUGGAAGUGGUGUUGGAGGGCCAAUAGGAGGAAUUGUAGUGAUGCACAGUGGUGAUUUCUAGUCACAAUAAACUACUAAUGUUUUCAGUUAAUACUCUUCAGGAUUUUGUAUGAUUUUUAUUAGCCUGGGUGCCAGUCUGUAUAGCCAGUUAUACAUGAUUUUUAUUAGCCUGGGUGCCAGUCUGUAUAGCCAGUUAUACAUGUGUCACGUCCUAACCAGUAAAAGGGGUUGUUUGUUAUUGUAGUUUGGUCAGGGCAUGGCAGGAGGUGUUUGUUUAGGGUGUUUCGGGGUGUUUUGGUUUAUGUUCUAUGUUAGUGUAUUUCUAUGUUCGUUCUAUUUGUUCUAUUUCUAUGCGUAGUUUAUUGGGUUGAUCUUCAAUUGGAGGCAGCUGUUCCUCGUUGCCUCUAAUUGAAGGUCCUAUUUAAUAGAGGUGUUUUUGUCAUGGGAUUUGUGGGUAGUUGUUUCUCUGUAUAGUCAUUUUGUCCUUACGAGACAGUUUUUUCG